AGCAUUGACUCUGCAGAAGCUUCUAGAAAGCCUGUUCCUUGGGACCCUGUGGAGGCUGACAGGGGAAAGCUGUGCGGAGCCCGGUUCCCAGAAUGCCCUAAGAUCUCAGGAAAUCAGGGCCAAAAUGGAAAAUGUAGGACCUAUAGAAGGAGCGAGGCUGAAGAUCAGAACCGCAGAUGGCAAUGGAUUGGAGAUGGCAAGCGGGCCUGGGAGGCAGAGAGCGCGUGCAUCCUCAAGCCAAAAGAAAAGAAAAGAAAUAAAAUAAGAAAGAGUCUUCUCAGAAGGCCUUUACAGUCACAAGAAUCAGCAUAGCCAGCCAUCGAUGAGAGGGGAAGAAACAGGACAAACGUGACCAAAGCCAGACCCAUGGUUUGGUGCCUUGUCACCAGCUACACAAAUCGCUGGGCCUCAGAUUCAGAUGUCUGCGUAC
Molecule: long non-coding RNA, 430 nt
Organism: Tupaia belangeri chinensis (Chinese tree shrew)
Lineage: Eukaryota; Metazoa; Chordata; Mammalia; Scandentia; Tupaiidae
Exons: 3
Source: RefSeq, a predicted model, not a curated record